UAGCAACGAUUUUAAGAUUGUGGCAAUAUGUAUCUAUUGCAAUAAUUUUAACAUUGAUGCUA
This 62-nucleotide microRNA precursor is filed under the name Oryza sativa (Asian cultivated rice). RNAcentral describes it as "miR5812 stem-loop (osa-MIR5812)". Lineage: Eukaryota; Viridiplantae; Streptophyta; Magnoliopsida; Poales; Poaceae. The record is from miRBase by way of RNAcentral.